Molecule: ribosomal RNA, 430 nt
Filed under: uncultured archaeon
Lineage: Archaea
Description: bacterial SSU rRNA
Rfam family: Archaeal small subunit ribosomal RNA
Source: RNAcentral
CACCAGCCCCUCGAGUGGUGGGGAUGAUUAUUUGGCCUAAAGCGUCCGUAGCCGGCCGGGCAAGUUUCCCGUUAAAUCCAACGUCUCAAGCGUUGGACUGCGGGAAAUACUACCCGGCUAGAGAGUGGGAGAGGUCAGCGGUAUUCUGGGGGUAGGGGCGAAAUCCUUUGAUCCCCGGAGGACCACCAGUGGCGAAGGCUGCUGACUAGAACACGUCUGACGGUCAGGGACGAAAGCUGGGGUAGCGAACCGGAUUAGAUACCCGGGUAGUCCCAGCCGUAAACGAUGCAUGCUAGGUGUUGAGUUGGCCACGAGCCACCCCAGUGCCGCAGGGAAGCCGUUAAGCAUGCCGCCUGGGAAGUACGAUCGCAAGGUUGAAACUUAAAGGAAUUGGCGGGGGAGCACCGACCAGGCGUGAAGCCUGCGGUUU